Molecule: unclassified non-coding RNA, 302 nt
Filed under: plant metagenome
Description: partial contains 5.8S ribosomal RNA, internal transcribed spacer 2, and large subunit ribosomal RNA
Rfam family: 5.8S ribosomal RNA (bases 1-106)
Source: RNAcentral
CGAAAUGCGAUAAGUAGUGUGAAUUGCAGAAUUCAGUGAAUCAUCGAAUCUUUGAACGCACAUUGCGCCCUAUGGUAUUCCGUAGGGCAUACCUGUUCGAGCGUCAUUUACACCUUCAAGCCUUGCUUGGUGUUGGGUGACUGUGGCCCCUUUGGGGCCACUCGCCUUAAAGUCAUUGGCGGCCGGUUCGUUGGCUUUGUAGCGCAGCACAAUUGCGUCCUCGAAGCCGCUGGACCAGCUCCCAGAAGCUAAUUUUAAAUGUUUGACCUCGAAUCAGGUAGGGAUACCCGCUGAACUUAAGC